Molecule: ribosomal RNA, 435 nt
Filed under: uncultured bacterium
Lineage: Bacteria
Description: partial 16S ribosomal RNA
Rfam family: Bacterial small subunit ribosomal RNA
Source: RNAcentral
AGCGAACGCUGGCGGCAGGCUUAACACAUGCAAGUCGAACGGGCAUCUUCGGAUGUCUGUGGCAGACGGGUGAGUAACACGUGGGAACGUACCCUUCGGUUCGGAAUAACUCAGGGAAACUUGAUCUAAUACCGGAUACGCCCUUUUGGGGAAAGGUUUACUGCCGAAGGAUUGGCCCGCGUCUGAUUCGCUUGUUGGUGGGGUAACGGCCUACCAAGGCGACGAUCAGUAGCUGGUAUGAGAGGAUGAUCAGCCACACUGGGACUGAGACGCGGCCCAGACUCCUACGGGAGGCAGCAGUGGGGAAUAUUGGACAAUGGGCGCAAGCCUGAUCCAGCCAUGCCGGGUGAGUGAUGAAGGCCUUAGGGUUGUAAAGCUCUUUUGUCCGGGACUAUAAUGACGGUACCGGAAGAAUAAGCCCCGGCUAACUUCGUG